CGCCCUCGGCCACGCCCUGACACACUCCAGCCAAUCGCAGCCCGCUCCGGCCAGCUGGGCCCCGCCCCCGGCUAUUUUCCAACCGCUCGCCGACGGCCCCGCCCAAUCGUUGCUGGUUUACUCGGAAAACCACGGCGGGGUGGGUGAAGGGGCCUACCGGACAAGCGGAAAGGUCACGUGUACUGUUGUAUUUCAGCUCCAAGUCCAGAAAAAACAGCAAAAGCCAGCUGGAUGAUACCAGAACCAAUUGCAAUGAAGACCCUGCCACUGACCAACCAGAAGAGACCAUGACCCUGAAAGGGCACAUCUGGAUAACAGCUGUGGCCAUGCUUCGAACCAGGGAGAUGAAAGUGACUUCCACCCAGGAUGUAACUGGGAAGCAGCUCCUCCUGGUUACAACACCUGCCUGAGAACUUAGAGAUUAUUGACACCACACCACCAGGUCAUGCCUGCCCAGACUUACUACGGCAGCCCAGAAAAGCUGGAAAAAAAUAUGGGAAUGCUGGCAGGUGUAGCCGAUUGUGGAAGAAAUUGGAAAUGGAGCUGCAGAGGAAGACUGGUGCUGGGAUUUAAACCCAGGUGUGGCAGCCAUGCCAGGAGGGACUACAUGACUUUGGACUAAGAGGGUACCCAUGCAGCUUUGGUGAGAGGGAGAACACGGCUUUGGGGCUCCCUUUGCUACACAGUUUAGGAAGCUAGGAAGCAAGAUGUGGCAGCAUUGUCGAGCUCUCUCUUAGCAGUUUGGAAGAAUACAGGAGAGAUGCUGCAAGAAGGAGAGAGUAAAAGGACUCUUGCUGGUGGGCCAUGAGAAGGUGCCAUGCGUGUUUGAAUUAACCGGAGAUUGCAGCGGCGACACAGCUGAUGGUGCUGGGAACUGAAGGAGGCUUGCCAGUUGAGCGUGUAUUACUGGGAAGAACCAGGGGCUACCUGUGCCUUCUGGACUUCUACUUCUUUUCCUGGGAUUCGGUACCCCAGACUGGGCAGAGCGGGGAAGGAAGGAUUGUAUGUGUUUGUGAGUGUUUGAUGGAAUUUUUGGAUUUUAAUGAAGGCAUUGAGUCAUUACUCUUAAGUCUAUACAACCUUUGAAUAAAUAAUUCCUUUCUUUUCACCAAUCUCUGAUGUUAAGAGACGUCAUUCCCUGGUGGCAGGCAAGGCAAACCUAGUACAGAGGGACCCGGGGAGAAGGUGGGGGUCUGUUCAGUAAUAGUCUAUCGUUCCCACCCACCCCUGGGUCCGUUCUGUAACACCAUGGGCUAAAUCUGGUCCACAGAUAUGUUUUAGUUGGUUCACAAAGUGUCUUCAAAACUGAGACAUUUCCUAAAAGUUUGGAUUUCAACCUUUCUCGAAAAGCAAAGAUUUGGCAGUGGUGGGUCCACAGCCAACACGGCUAAAAUGAGUUGGAGCUGAGAAGCACCCACCACCUUUAAAGCACACUUUUCCAUUUCCCUCGGCCUCACUGGUCCCUGUCAUCUUACACACGGCCCCUCCACCCUUACACUUGUGGAAGAAAAGGGGCCACAUACUGAAUCUGACACACUCAGGGGAGGUCUGCAUGACAGCCUUGCAAACCGAGAGAUUUAAAGGAACCACAAAGGAUGCUCUUAAAUUAACAUUUACCAACUAUAAGCAAUCCAUGGCCCUGCCCUAGGCCGGUAUCUUUUUCUAACAAAGGUCAUUCUUUACCUUAACUGAGCCUGUCUGUUGUCUUUUUGCAUCUAAGAUAAUAAACCUUUGCAAUGUCAAGAUAAUUUCCUUUUGGGAAUUUGUGGGGAGGGAUGGGUGGUGGGCUGGGAUGGGAGUAAAAGAGAGAAAACUGUACUUGAACAACAACUAAAAUUUAAAAAUUUAAAAAAUAAAUAUUAAAAAAAAGAUAAUUUCCUUCUCCAGCCCCCCUCAGAGCACAAUCUCCCACCACAGCAGAGACCUCUGGAGCCCCUCAUUGUCACUGUGUUCUCUCAGAUACCAUCUCUAUGUGCUGUAAAUGGUCAUUGUUAACUAGGAUGUACCCACCAGUAUAAAAGAAGUAUGUGUUUAUCAUUUUACCUUUUAUCCAAUCCCAGAGAUUUCCCCACUUUGCUUUCUCCCACCUUCCUAAGCUAUCACUCAUGGAUUUCAUGUAACCCCCUAUGUCUCCUCCUUUGAUUGUAAUGUAUACAAUAAAUAAAGUGUUAACCUGCCAUUCUUCAGAGCAUUUCUCAAACUAUUGAGAUUUUGCUUCCCAGUAAUUAUCAUCAGUUUGGCUCAAAUAAACUCACAAAAAUUCUCUA
Molecule: long non-coding RNA, 2267 nt
Organism: Artibeus jamaicensis (Jamaican fruit-eating bat)
Lineage: Eukaryota; Metazoa; Chordata; Mammalia; Chiroptera; Phyllostomidae
Exons: 3
Source: RefSeq, a predicted model, not a curated record